AGCCAGAGCUGGCGCUCCCUGAAGUGCCUGAGGUCGCCUUGCCUGGGUGGGGAAAGGUCGCGGCCCGUGGGGGUCAGUUUGCUGCUCUUUCCUUCAGCCAAGGCUGCUUGGCUCAGCCAGCGAGUCUGAGGAGUGUGAGAAGCACUGGGCUUCCUCAGUCACGGGGGCAGGAGGGCUGGAGGUGGGUGCCCCUGUGGGGCAGUGCCAGGUCUCCAGGCAGCAGGCAGAGGCGGCCUGGGGCUUUGCGGCUCGGGGGUGGGGGGCCCACAGCCGGCACAGCAUGCUCGCUGUGUACUCCAGGAAGGGCUACACUUCAGGCCACGGCAGGACUUUACAGAAGGCAUGGGAAGUAGAACAGGAGGGCGAGGGAAGACCAGAGUCUCAGACCAGAUACUCAGACCCUGAGUCUCCCAGAAGGCAGCUUCACCGGCCUGCGGGCACUCGGCCCCACUUCCGACAGGCGUGGGGGUCAGGCACCCUGGAGGAUCCCUCGGAGAGAAGGAGGUUUGGAGAUGCCACAACUUGGUCAGGCUCUGUGCUCCACUUUAAACAAGCCAGUGAAACCCUGGCUCAGCUGAGGCUUAGGCUGCUAAUCCCACGUGGGGCCUGGAUAUCAUCUGAACCUUUGACCCUCCCAGGGGCAGCAGCAGUGAGGACGGGUAGAGAGGCCCAAAUGCCAGCUGCCCGACUCUCUGGAUGUGGCUCCAGCAAGAAGUCCCCGUUUCCUCUCCCCUCCAGAGGUCACCUGCAGGGCUGGCUGCCUGAGGGGUAUCUGUGCCCCAAGUAGCUGGGGAGACAGGGCACCUCCUGCAUUUGAGCAGAGAUGCAGUCUGGGCUGGAGACCCUGAGGGUGACCUGUGGGUGCGCUGGUUUGGGGUUAGUCUCAUGUAACUGUGCUGCUGGCCUGAUACCCCGGGGCUCCAGCAGAAAGCCCAUCUGUAGAAGCGAAGUGGAGGAUGACCCUGAGCGGCGCUGGUGCCAGGGGGCCACUGAGCCCCUCAGGCUCUUUCUUUAAUCCACAUUCAUGGCCAACCUUGGCUCUGACUUGCCCUGCCUGAGUCCCUGGUCUUGAAGGCUCAGACAAGAUGGUGCCCCUGUGGUUGAUUUGAGGGCCCCUCGCUGUCAUUCACCUCUGAGCCUUGUCUCCAGGAGCGCUGGAUUUGCCCAUGAGUCUGCCAGUGACUUGCUGCAUGACCCAGGGCCCGUGUCUUCCCCUUCAUAACCUCAUUUUUCCGUUUGCAAAAGCCAGGCAAUUAUUGUCUACUACAUCCGGUGGGAACGUACAAGGCAGUGUUGUUCAGGGUUAAGUUAACACCCUGCCCCCUCACUCCCAGAACAAGAAUUGUCCCUAAAGUUAUACCAUAAGCAAUUCUGCUACUACUCUUACUAAGAAAAAAAGCCAGCACAUUUCUGGGGGGAUUGGGAGCUUUUUUUAAGGUAUAGGGGCAUUGGCCAUUUAAAUUCUUAAAUAGCUUUGAAAUGUGUGGUGGUGUGUGGCCUCAUUCAGACGUUGACAUUGGGAAAAAUGGAAAGAAUCUCUUCCUCCUUUCCCCCUUCCUCUUUCUUUGUCCUUCCAGCUCUUGCAGGUGAGGUAAUAAGAGGAGAGCGCCACGUAGAAGUGAGGUGCUUUGGUGGUAACAAUUUGGAGUCUUUGUCUUGAAGAAUCUGGCUUUCUGCAUUUCAGUUUUGUGGAAUCAUUUUGGAUAUGUCCUUCUGUGCACUUAAACAUCUUAAACACUGUGUCUUUUGAAACAGUCAUUAACCUUUCACAGUAGAGUCUGUGUAUCAUGCAUGACUGAGCCACACUUCCUAUGCGAUCGCUGCUUUGAGGAAGCCUGUGCUUCGGACUUUCCAUGAGUCAGGGACCCACAGGGAGGGCACUUCCGCCACGGCCACGGCGUUGUUUUGGGGCCCCCGCCCCCAAGGCGUGCAGUGCCUCCUCCCCUCGCAGUGAUGUCUUCCGUUUCCACAAUACUUACUGCUUGUUUUUAAAUGUGGCGCCUUAUCUUGAUACAUGUGUUCAAUAAAGAGCAACACACAAGGUGUUUCUCUCAAUCUGUUACAGAAAAAAAAAAAGCCAGCCCCGCGGUCCAGGGCGGGAAAGGCUCUCGCACCGCGGUGACCCUGCCGUCGAGCUGGAGGCGGUCAGCGUCCGGGAAUGCCGUCCGUGGGAGGCCGGGCCUGCCGUGGGCUCCCCGCUGGGGCUUCCUGUGGCUCUCUGGUCGCUCCCUUCUUUCUCCUCUGGGCUCAGUGCCUGUGGCUCCGCUGGGCUCUUGCUCCCUUCCUGUGAGGCUGGAGCUUGUCCGUGAAGAAGACCCACGGCCGGUCUGGCCCAACAUUGAACCGCUGGUGCCUGCAGGCCUGUGGGGCAGUGAGGGCCAGGGGCUGCCGGCCUCCAGCCCCAGCUAUCCCUCUCCUGAUCACAAACAGAAUCCCACCUGAAGCAGGAGGAGGUGGCACCGGGUGAGAAUAGGGAGAAUGACAAGUGGGGUGCCUGGAGGGUCCCCUGGACUGUGCCUCCCUGGCCCCAGCUCCUGGGCUAGAAGGUAAGGGCUCCGGGCCCAGCUCUGCUAGAAGUGGCAGCUGACACUCUCAGCCUGAUGGACUCCCUCACGGGAGGUGGAGGCCGCUGGUCACAGGGCUGUUACAGGCAUCAAAUUAGGUGAUGGUCUGUUUAAUAAGAGAAAGUAGCAACAGUGUCUUCAGAGGGCUAGGGCUCACUCAGGUAAGAGAAGUGUUUUGUGAAGGUGAGGGAGGGAUACUGGCCACGCCGUGGCUUUCCCCGUGUCUGUCUGACAGUGUAAGGAGGGGCUGUGUGGCCACACAUGGGCCUUGGCAUCAGAGAUCCUAGAUUCCCCUAAUGCUAAAAUUAACUUGGAUAUUUUAUUAACCGAGCUCAGCUAAGCUGCCUGUGCUAUUUUUAACCCCUGAGGACGAAGGUGCAGGGCCUGGCUGCACCUGGGAAACAGCAGGGGCUCCGGCAGGGGCAGGUUCAGCCUGGGGCCCGGGCCUUGCCUGGAAAGGGGAGUGGGUUUCUUGUGCGUGUGUGGGUGUGGAGGCUGGAUGCAGAUGCUAAGGGCGUCGUUUCCAUGUAUUAUCUCAUUUUAUCUAAACUCUGGAAACUCCACGGCACUGAGGUGGAGAAAGGGAGACCCACGGAUUUAUCUGGGCCCAAGCACCCCAGCUCCACGGGCUCCUGGGAUCCGAGUUCUUCUCCUCACCACUUAGUAUUGUCCAUUAAUUUUUUUUUCUUUGAGACUGGGCCUCACUGUGUUGCCCAGGCUGGUCUCCAACUCUCCAACUCCAGGACUCAAGGGAUCUUCCUGCUUCAACUUCCUGAGUAGCUGGGACACAGGUGCUCACCACUGCAGCCUGCCUGUCAGUUUGGAGAGCUGUUUCUUCUCUGUGAUCUUGGAUUGGAAUGGGGGGAAUCAUGGAGGGCUGGAGAACAGAGAGACUUGUUGGUGACCUUAGGGACACGAGGCAGGCAGUGUUCAGGCAGGGAAGGAAGGAAGGGGCUGCUGGUCUGUGUGGGUGGACAGUGGCCUGGGAGGCCCAAGACACAGGGUGUGCUGGGAAGACAGUUUGGAGAUGCAGAGGUGAUCCUUUAAGCAGGGCCACAGCCACCCAUCCAGCCUUCAGGUGUGUGAGCAAAUGGUGCCUGGCAGGUGGACUCAGCCAGGGUGCUGGACUGGUGGGCAGAGUGUGGACCCCGGAGGCAGCCCUGGGGGCGUCAUUCCUGGAAGGGAAUCUGGCAUUGGUGGAAAACACUUUGACUUGCUUCUUUGGAGCUAAUGGAAGCAAAUGAGGCAUUUGGAGCUAAGGAGCGUGUGAACCGCGCAGGCGCAGAGUGGAUGAGCGGCGUCUCCCUGAGGCUGUGGCACCGUGUUUGCAGGUGGCGCGUCAUGUUUUAAACAUAGACGUGUGUGUGUUUAGAAAGGAGGUGGACGUAUUGGCUGGAAACAGCCACAAGCAAAGUGAUGGCUGCUAAGGUUUUGAAAGUGAAGGCUGCUGAGCGAUGGUGGGAGGGGCUUGGUGAGGAGGAGAGCUCCUGGGGGCCCUCGGGGGAGACGUGGACGUAGCGAACCCACUUGGAAUCAGACACCCGAGACUGCGUGCUGGCCACGUUUCUUGACAAUUCUUUGAUUUUAGAUGACCCCUAACCUCUCUCUGCCUUGGUUUCUUGGUUUGUGAAAGUGGAGGCCAAGGCCUUCUUUUGCAGAGAUUAAUGGGACUUAGAUGCACCAGGCACUUCCCCCGCUCAGAUCUUCAUAGAUGGGAGGUAUUAUUCUAGCAGAAUUUGAAGCUAUCUGUUCGUCUGUAAUGAACUGGACUUCUAUGUAAGCAAAUAUAUAAUUUGAAAAAGAGCUACACUUUAAUAAGUAGGAGGGUGUUGAGAUCCGGGAGAGCUCACACUCUGGAGAGGUGGCUUUUGUUUUUGGUUUUGGCUGUCAUCUGGGUGUCUGGGAGGGAUGGCUUUCAACUUGCUCCUGAAGAGAGAGGUGGCUUUGGUUUUGGCUGUCAUCUUGGAGGGGGUCUGGGAGGGGUAGCUUUGAACUUGCCCCUGAAGAGAGAGUGAGGUCUCAGGAAGGGAAGGAAUCAUUUGGGUUGGGCUGGUGUUAUGAGAUGCACGGCCUGGCCUUUGAGGGGCCCAGAUAAGUUAGCUGGAGGGGCCAGUGGGACGUGUGGAUGGGCCUCUGGCCGAUGGGUUGACAGAAGGGGCCACACGGGGUCCCGUGGGGAUGUGGUGUCAUGCCCCGCAGGUGCCGGUACCUCUGGAGGGUGCGAGGUUGGACAGCAGGUGCCGGUACCUCUGGAGGGUGCGAGGUUGGACAGCAGGUGCCGGUACCUCUGGAGGGUGCGAGGUUGGACAGCAGGUGCCGGUACCUCUGGAGGGUGCGAGGUUGGGCAGCAGGUGCCGGUACCUCUGGAGGGUGCGAGGUUGGGCAGCAGGUGCCGGUACCUCUGGAGGGUGCGAGGUUGGGCAGCAGGUGCCGGUACCUCUGGAGGGUGCGAGGUUGGGCAGCAGGUGCCGGUACCUCUGGAGGGUGCGAGGUUGGGCAGCAGGUGCCGGUACCUCUGGAGGGUGCGAGGUUGGACAGCCGUUGUGGAACUGUGGUGGGGGUCGGGGAGGCAGCUCACUGAGCGCGUCUCGUCUUACGCAGCCGCGGGUCAGAGCAGGGGUCUGUGUUCACGCAGGAAAGGAGGGGCUUGCCGUGCAACCAGAGCUUCUAGCUUUGAACCAUAGGUGAAGGCGAUGAACAGACGUGUCUACUGCAGCAGCACCUGUGGCCAGUGGCUGAGUGAGCAAAUAGCAAACAGUAGAAGCAAUGUUGAGGAGUUGGGGUCUCCCCACCAAUCUCCUGUCGAACUGUCACCCCGUCGUUGGAAGUGGGGCCUGGUGGGAAGCGACUGGAUCUUGAGGGUGGAUUUAUAUGAACAGCUCAGCGCUAUCCCCUUGGUGCUGUUCUCACGAUAGUGAGUGAGUUCUCGUGAGAUCCGGUGGCACACCUCCCACCUCGCGCUCUUGCCCCCGCUCUCGCCGUGUGAGACACCUGCUCCCCCUUCACCUUCUGCCAUGACUGGAAGCUUCCCGAGGCCUCCCCAGAAGCAGAUGCCUCCAUACUUCCUGUACGGCUUGCAGCACCGUGACCAAUAAACCUCGUUUAUUUUGAAUUA
Long non-coding RNA from Homo sapiens (human), 5679 nucleotides. RefSeq lists it as uncharacterized. The record is from RefSeq and is a predicted model, not a curated record. Lineage: Eukaryota; Metazoa; Chordata; Mammalia; Primates; Hominidae. The transcript is spliced from 2 exons.